AUGCGAUAAGUAGUGUGAAUUGCAGACUUUAGUGAAUCAUCGAAUCUUUGAACGCACAUUGCGCCCCUUGGUAUUCCAUUGGGCAUGCCUGUUCGAGCGUCAUUUACACCCUCAAGCUCUGCUUGGUGUUGGGCGUCUGUCCCCGCUUUACGCGGGGACUCGCCUCAAAUUCAUUGGCAGCGGCAUCGUUGGCUUCUUGCGCAGCACAUUGCGCUCUAGAAGGCUCCCAACGGGCUCGCGUCCAUCAAGAUACCAUCUAGUUUGACCUCGAAUCAGGUAGGGAUACCCGCUGAACUUAA
This 299-nucleotide unclassified non-coding RNA is filed under the name uncultured Pleosporales. RNAcentral's name for it is "partial contains 5.8S ribosomal RNA, internal transcribed spacer 2, and large subunit ribosomal RNA". The stretch from base 1 to 102 matches the Rfam family "5.8S ribosomal RNA", at positions 53 to 154 of the family's 154-position model. The record is from RNAcentral. Lineage: Eukaryota; Fungi; Ascomycota; Dothideomycetes; Pleosporales.